RNAcentral lists this ribosomal RNA (415 nucleotides) under uncultured prokaryote. RNAcentral's name for it is "bacterial SSU rRNA". It matches the Rfam family "Bacterial small subunit ribosomal RNA", at positions 505 to 918 of the family's 1533-position model. The record is from RNAcentral.
GUGCCAGCAGCCGCGGUAAAACGUAGGAGGCAAGCGUUAUCCGGAUUCACUGGGCGUAAAGCGCGUGCAGGCGGUUCGGCAAGUUGGGCGUGAAAUCUCCUGGCUCAACUGGGAGAGGUCGUCCAAUACUGCCGGGCUAGAGAACGGUAGAGGAAGGCGGAAUUCCCGGUGUAGUGGUGAAAUGCGUAGAUAUCGGGAGGAACACCAGUGGCGAAGGCGGCCUUCUGGACCGUUUCUGACGCUUAGACGCGAAAGCUAGGGGAGCAAACGGGAUUAGAGACCCCGGUAGUCCUAGCCGUAAACUAUGCGAACUGGGCGUCGGUGGGUUAAUAUCCAUCGGUGCCGUAGCCAACGCGUUAAGUUCGCCGCCUGGGGACUACGACCGCAAGGUUAAAACUCAAAGGAAUUGACGGGG